UGAAUACGAGAUGCUACGGCGUCGAAGCAGUGUAUGUCAGACUUCCAAGAAAAGCUCGCAAUGUCAUAAAUAAAGAAUGCCUGUACCAUAACCGACACAGGUGGGUAGGUAGAGUAUACUAAGGGGCGCGAGAUAACUCUCUCUAAGGAACUCGGCAAAAUAACUCCGUAACUUCGGGAGAAGGAGUGCCUUCUAUUAGAAGGUUGCAAUAACAAGAUCCAAGCAACUGUUUAUCAAAAACACAGGUCUCCGCUAAGUCGUAAGACGAUGUAUGGGGGCUGACGCCUGCCCAGUGCCAGAAGGUUAAAGAAGUUGGUUAGCUUUGGCGAAGCUGAUGACUGAAGCCCUGGUGAACGGCGGCCGUAACUAUAACGGUCCUAAGGUAGCGAAAUUCCUUGUCGGGUAAGUUCCGACCCGCACGAAAGGCGUAAUGAUUUGGAUACUGUCUCGGAGAGGGACUCGGUGAAAUAGACUUGUCUGUGAAGAUGCGGACUACCUGCACCAGGACAGAAAGACCCUAUGAAGCUUUACUGUAACUUGAAAUUGAAAUUGGACUUUAUUUGCGCAGCAUAGGUGGAAGGCGUUGAGAUUACUCUUGCGGGAGUACUGGAGCCAUCAGUGAGAUACCACUCCUAUAAUGUUAGAUUUCUAACUUUGGAUCAUGAUCUGGUCAAAGAACAGUUUCAGGCGGGCAGUUUGACUGGGGCGGUCGCCUCCCAAAUGGUAACGGAGGCGUACAAAGGUUUCCUCUGAACGGGUAGAAAUCGUAUCUAGAGUGUAAAGGCAUAAGGAAGCUUGACUGUGAGACCUACAAGUCGAGCAGGGACGAAAGUCGGUCUUAGUGAUCUGACGGUGCUGAGUGGAAAGGCCGUCACUCAACGGAUAAAAGUUACUCUAGGAUAACAGGCUGAUCUCCCCCAAGAGUUCACAUCGACGGGGAGGUUUGGCACCUCGAUGUCGGCUCAUCGCAUCCUGGGGCGGUAGUACGUCCCAAGGGUUGGGCUGUUCGCCCAUGAAAGCGGUACGCGAGCUGGGUUCAGAACGUCGUGAGACAGUUCGGUCCAUAUCCGGUGUAGGCGUUAGAAUAUUGAGAGGAGCCUUCUUUAGUACGAGAGGACCGAGAAGGACAUACCUCUGGUGUACCAGUUAUCGUGCCAACGGUAAACGCUGGGUAGCUAUGUAUGGAGAGGAUAACCGCUGAAAGCAUCUAAGUGGGAAGCCCACCUCAAGAUGAGUAUUCUCAUC
Molecule: ribosomal RNA, 1245 nt
Filed under: metagenome
Description: bacterial LSU rRNA
Rfam family: Bacterial large subunit ribosomal RNA
Source: RNAcentral